Molecule: small nuclear RNA, 103 nt
Filed under: Marmota monax (woodchuck)
Lineage: Eukaryota; Metazoa; Chordata; Mammalia; Rodentia; Sciuridae
Source: RNAcentral
GUGCUCGCUUUGGCAGCACAUAUACGAAAAUUGGAACUAUACAGAGAAGAUUAGCAUGACCCCUGCACAAGGAUGAUGCACAAAUCCAUGAAGCAUAUAUUUU